AAAAUUCAACUCCUCUCCCUUCAUCAGAAGGGUGGUGGGGAUGCAGGGACGGAGAGCUCUGGCUACCUCAGUUAAAACUAACACAGACCUUCAGGCAUGGAAAACACCCUUCAGACCUUCCACAUCUUUGGCUUUCUUCUGACUAUCUUCAACCUCUCUCCUUGAUUUGAGAGGGAGAAAAAUCCACUUGGCAUUUGCGAAUGGCUGUGAUUCAAUGCAGCGAAGGGUCUCUGCCGCCGCCAGCCUCGCUGAGCCUUGGGAACUCCUUGUGCCAUAAUGAAAUCACAUCUGCUGCCGAGUAGGGAGUCAGUGAAGGAUGGAUGAGUGGGGAGAUGCUUUCUCAGGCAGGCUGGGCUCUCCUACUUCCCGAGUUUAACAUCCAUGUGCUGCACCAUCUGGGGUGUGCCUUGGCCCAGGCAUCUGCCCCAGCUCCAGUGACUCUCGGGCAGGUGAGGGGGUGGAGCAGGGUGGCACAAGGACCUUUUUGCAAUGGAUCAGCUGCUGGGGAGUGAAGGUCCUGAUCCUUUUAGGCACUGCCUCAGAAGCCCAGUGUCACAAAUGGAUGCCCUGAUUCCAAGGAGAGGCUGCAGCAGGCUUGGGAAAGCCCAGGGAAGGGGAUGUAAAGGCAAACAGUGAAUCUCAUCAUGAAUUCAUGGUAACAAGUGCCUACAGAAGUAGCACUCCUAACAAAUUUCUCCAAGCUCUUAGAGCAUCUUAAGAGGAGAUGACUCUGUCACUUGCUUUAUGGGUCUGUGGAGGAUCCUACUGAGUAAGAAAUGCACAUAUUUAAGUUUAUGGGAAGAUAAACCUAACAUUUAGUGCCUGGCUCUGUUCAUAUUUAGCUCUGUGCAUUCUGAGGUAUAUAUCUGCCAUAUGGGACAUUCUGUCUGACCAGACCAGAAUGGGUUCUGUAAUUAUUUAAUUGCUAUAGCAGGAUGAUACCUGUUAUUAAUAUUAUAAAUAAUAAACAAUAUGUCUUAAACUAUAAACACCGAAGAGCAAGUCAGACAAAUGCAUGGGAGAAAAAAAAAAGCCAUGUGAAAAAUACAGCUCUUCAGUAAAGAUGAAACAGUGGCACUGUAGGAGUCAGGGAAGUGAAAAUACUGGGAAAAUAACAGUGUGGUCGCUGCCUUGUGCUGAAUCUGCACAAACACUCAUGAUAUGAAAUAGUCUCUGUCCUGAGGACUUAAAAUUCAUGGCUUAGGCUGAGAGAGAAAAUGCCUUUAUGAUCUCUCUGUCUCUCUUGUGUCUCACUGAGGAAAGAUCUGCAGGGGUAGAAAGAGCCAAGGCAGUGGAUUUUACCAUCUCCAUGCCUGCCGAGAGCAGCUCGCUCACAGCAAAGGUUUGCAGAGGGACAGAGGGCAGGGGCUGCCAGAGAGAAGUGCAGGAGCAGAGACCAGUGCAAGGGAAAGAGAGAAAGAAAAGAAAGAGGCAGGACAAGGUGUCUGCUCAUCUUUUUACGAGGGACAAUGGAAAUGGUUUAGGGGGACAGGGCGGGAGAAGCCAAGCAGGGUAAGAGGCAGGGCUGGAAGUGAUAAAGAAAGGUUUCAUUGCCAGAGAGGGUGACAUUCAGCUAAUCUUUCCCUGCUGGCAGUGAGCCGAGCCUGGACCUGACAUCUCCACAGGCAGGUCCUGCAUGGGCUCCCUGCCACAGCCACCUCCCCAGCUCUCCCUUCCUCUCAGGUCUGUGCAGAGCACGAGAAGGGACAAUAUUUACAACAUUUACUGUGCUUUUUUUUAUGUAAAAAUCUACUCAGUAUCACUUAACCUCUUACCCCAUCUCUUCUCCUAGAAAAACUCUUGCUUUUUUACUUUUUACUACCUCCAUCAAAUGAGAAGCAGAAUUUCCCUCAGUGCUGGAGAGCCUGGUGUGGAUUCCCAUUCCUCUGCCCCUUCCAGCUCUGGAGGCACCAGCCCACAUCUCUAGCAGCAAAGCCAAGGAAAGUGCUUCAACCCUGAGGAUUUUCCCUGAGUACCUUGGGAGAGGCUGGGAAUUUUGACAAUAAAGUAAAGAAGAGGAGAUAAUAAUAUGAGGAAUAAGAAUACCCAAGCACAGAACUCCACAUGAAUGAUCUGCUCCAAGGUCACCUGAUAAAUGGCAUGGAGACAGGGUGUUGGUGAUGACACAAGCAGAGAGAAGAAAUAAAUCUCACUGGGACAGUGUGGACAGGAGUGCCUGUUUGCUCUGGAAAGAAUUGGAAGAAGAAGAAGAAACUAAGUGGAUUGCUGCAGUACAUUAAUUGUACAAGAACUGCAAAAUGGCUGAAAACAGAGGGAUGAUAUUUUUAAAGCUGUCUAGUUUUGAAAAGAUCAAAGGCAGAGGUAGAGAAAUAAUCCAUUGGACGUGUAUAAUUGCAAAGCGCGUAUUGUUAAAAAAAAAAAAAAAAAGAAAAAAAAAAAAGAAAAA
Taeniopygia guttata (zebra finch) is the source of this 2407-nucleotide non-coding RNA. NCBI's taxonomy places the organism in Eukaryota, Metazoa, Chordata, Aves, Passeriformes, Estrildidae. The record is from RefSeq and is a predicted model, not a curated record.